GAGGCCUCCCCUCCUCUCUUCUCGUCUCUGGCGCCGACCCGCCCCCGACCCCCGAAUAUAGGCCUAUCAUUGCUCCGGCCGCACGUCGCUCUUGCCCGUCGAGCUCGCUCUAUUGGUUCUUGUUGGGGAUGCGGCCGGCCCCCUCUCGAUGAUUGGACAAUCUUUGCAAGGCGCGGCGUUCGAUUGGCUUCCCGCGCGGGCUGCUAGGAUUGGCUCAGGCUUUCUUCCCCGCUCCGCCUCCUCCUCCCGCCUCGGGGCACAACACGCCAGCGCGAGGACUUGUGCGUCAAUCCAGAUGCCUGUGUCGCCCUGAUUGGGCGGACAGGUCUCUCAGUUGUACGGUCUUUCUCCAAGUGCCUGUGGCCCAUCUUUGAGACUUAGAGGAUGGAAUUAAAGGAAGGAAGCAGAAGACAAUGCCCCAAAUCACUGACAUCACGCAUAGCUGCAUUGGUUGGGAAGCGGCAUGGAGGCAUGGAGUUUUUGUCCUUCCUCUGAAUGGUGACGUGCUUGUGGAACAGGAUCUCUCCUCCGCACCUCCGUUCGCUUGUUGUCGUGAGGAUGCCGCAGAAGGUACAGAUGGGAUUCCCUGUCCACCCCCUACUCCCGUGCGCACCUCCCCCCACCAUGAUCGUCGCCUACUGGGCUUUAAGAUCUCAGCUCGGUGGUCUUCUCUUGGAGGGAAAACUUCCCUGACCUCCCGUUCUGAGUGGUCCCAUGAGCCCUGUUAAUUAGCAUCUACUUUUGCGACUGAUCCUGAAGCGUACUAAACUUGGAGAAACUGUUCUAAGGAUGCAGCACUAUCGGGUGACUUAGAUUCCUUCUUGAGACUUGCACCUCCGUGCCCCCGUCCACUGGUUCAACGGUUCAAUCUGGCCAGCGGGGCACGGGGAUUCUGACAGGUGGCUCUUCCCUGGCACACCCACAGGCAGAGGUCAGCAAAGGUCGUCACUUUCAAGCAAGGCUGAUCUACACAGUUCCAGGGGCCCUGAGGGUGAGUCCGGUGCUGAGUGUUUCCUGAGCAUCCUUCUGUCCUCACGUGUGUGCCUGGUGGUGUCAGUGGGGAGGCCUGGAAGGUGGAACAACCGCCCAAGAUGCCACGAGCAGCCAGGUGGCCUGUGCUGGAAGCUGGGGCCUCGGAAUGAGCGGAGUUCUUGAAGGGGCCUGGAGAUAGAGAGGGUGCUCCUCGCCCCGGAACCCCACGAGGUGACAGGCCCAGGGGUGGACCUG
This is a non-coding RNA of Odocoileus virginianus texanus, 1227 nucleotides long. The record is from RefSeq and is a predicted model, not a curated record. NCBI's taxonomy places the organism in Eukaryota, Metazoa, Chordata, Mammalia, Artiodactyla, Cervidae.